UGGGGAAUUUUGGACAAUGGGGGCAACCCUGAUCUAGCAAUGCCGCGUGCGUGAAGAAGGCCUUCGGGUUGUAAAGCACUUUUGUCCGGAAAGAAAUCGCGCUGGUUAAUACCUGGCGUGGAUGACGGUACCGGAAGAAUAAGCACCGGCUAACUACGUGCCAGCAGCCGCGGUAAUACGUAGGGUGCGAGCGUUAAUCGGAAUUACUGGGCGUAAAGCGUGCGCAGGCGGUUUUGUAAGACAGGCGUGAAAUCCCCGGGCUUAACCUGGGAAUUGCGCUUGUGACUGCAAGGCUAGAGUGCGUCAGAGGGGGGUAGAAUUCCACGUGUAGCAGUGAAAUGCGUAGAGAUGUGGAGGAAUACCGAUGGCGAAGGCAGCCCCCUGGGACGUGACUGACGCUCAUGCACGAAAGUGUGGGGAGCAAACAGGAUUAGAUACCCUGGUAGUCCACGCCCUAAACGAUGUCAACUAGUUGUUGGGGAUUCAUUUUCUCAGUAACGUAGCUAACGCGUGAAGUUGACCGCCUGGGGAGUACGGUCGCAAGAUUA
This 548-nucleotide ribosomal RNA is filed under the name uncultured bacterium. RNAcentral describes it as "bacterial SSU rRNA". It matches the Rfam family "Bacterial small subunit ribosomal RNA", at positions 355 to 896 of the family's 1533-position model. The record is from RNAcentral.